Molecule: long non-coding RNA, 845 nt
Filed under: Helianthus annuus (common sunflower)
Lineage: Eukaryota; Viridiplantae; Streptophyta; Magnoliopsida; Asterales; Asteraceae
Description: hypothetical non coding rna
Source: RNAcentral
GCCCGGGCAUCAAUAGCCUGACAUAACGGGCGGUCAUAAGAUCUAAGCGCAAAGGAACAAAGGAGUGAGUCGGGUUGGGACUGAUGGUGCAGCCGGGCCAUAACAUACGUUCCGACCACAGACGUAAGAUGCGGAUGAAGCAGAUGUUAAGGCAAGCUGCCAAGCGUUUAAUGCUACGGAUUUUGGCAGGGACCAAAUCUUUUAGACGUACCAAUACCCAGUGGAUUAGCUUUACGUCUUUAAACCACUGUGCCACUCCCCUAAUUGUUCAGUUAUUUGUAAUUGUAGUCAAGGUUCUUUUGACCAAACCCCACAUGUCAUAUGCUAGUUAUCAUGAUGUUUAGGAUCAAAUACAAAGGUUCCUAAGAAUAAGAAGUCGUACAAAGGGCAUCAAAUGGACUCCGAUUGACCUCAUUCAAGCAGUGGAACUGUCUCAUAUAUGUAGUUAAAGCUGCAAUAUCUGUGAAUAAGUUGUUAGGAACUUAGGGUUUGUAAACACUGCCGAAGGUCACUUUUUAAUUUUUUUUAUUUCAGGUGCGCAAGGACCACAGGUACAGAAAGUUCUUGAACAGCUAACUGGACAACAUACCGUUCCAAAUGUUUUUAUUGGUAUGGGGCAAGCACAUAGGCGGUUGUACAGAUACUGUCAAUUUACAUAGGAAGGGGGAACUUGAAGCUUUGCUGGCUGAGGCGAAAAACACCUAACUCGAUAUUGCUCAACUGUUUUGAUGCACAACCUUAUUUUCUGAAUUGUUGUGAUGCACAAAAAAUGAUAUAUAUUUUUUUGCUGUUUUGUUGGCCAAACUUGACUAAUUUUGAUGUAAUCUUGUUGAUCUUGUGAUAUA